Molecule: ribosomal RNA, 327 nt
Filed under: uncultured bacterium
Lineage: Bacteria
Description: bacterial SSU rRNA
Rfam family: Bacterial small subunit ribosomal RNA
Source: RNAcentral
AUUGAACGCUGGCGGCAUGCCUUACACAUGCAAGUCGAACGGCAGCACGGGAGCAAUCCUGGUGGCGAGUGGCGAACGGGUGAGUAAUAUAUCGGAACGUGCCCAGUCGUGGGGAUAACGUAGCGAAGCUACGCUAAUACCGCAUACGAUCUACGGAUGAAAGCGGGGGAUCGCAAGACCUCGCGCGAUUGGAGCGGCCGAUAUCAGAUUAGGUAGUUGGUGAGGUAAAGGCUCGACCAAGCCGACGAUCUGUAGCUGGUCUGAGAGGACGACCAGCCACACUGGGACUGAGACACGGCCCAGACUCCUACGGAGGCAGCAGUGGGA